UCGAGCUGAGGACAGAAGAGUUGAUUCAAACUAAGAAAAGAACUCAGAAGCUAAGUCCUCAGGCUGCUCAUCCUGGGAGAAGGAGCAGUGAGGGCUGGACUUUGGGUGAGGCAGUUAUCACUGAACAUGUUCAUGGCUAGAAACUCAACAACUGCAAUGUAAGAGUGUGCAGCAACCUCCACCAUCAUUCUGCGGUCCCCCAUUCUGACCUCAGGCCAGUCCAGCUCUAGACUUCCAUCUUUUCUCCCUAGCCUGUGGCUCAGAUAAUGAGAAUGAAGAGAUUCAAAGGUUUUCUCCAUCCUAGUGAAGACUCGGGGGUCCUUGAGCACCCCACUCUUGCCAGGGCUGCAGGGAUGGAGCACUUACCCUGGGUUCCUGCUUCAAGCACUGUGAUCUGCAAAGCAGUAGCAUCAUCUCCCCAGUCUAUCCCCUCAACUCCAGCAUCCUGGAUGGAGAGCAAAGAACCCAAUGUUGGGAGAAUUUCCCCAAGCCCAAGGGGCCGGAAGAGACAAAAGGCUUUGAAAAGUUCAAUGACUGAAAACUCCAAUUGCAUUAAAGUCUACAACCCUGAGAGGAUGCUGCUCAACUUCCAUGUCCUCAGGGCUGGGAUUAACCAUGACAAUGUAAAACACAGGCAGUUAUGCCAAGAACCGGAUGAAUGAACAACUACAAAGCUCCUAAUACCUUCAGCGCCCCAAGGACUAAAUAACACUAUUCUAUUCUUCACAAUGAAGUGCCACCCUGAACACAUGACUAUAAAUGUGACUGACCUCAA
Molecule: non-coding RNA, 775 nt
Organism: Ictidomys tridecemlineatus (thirteen-lined ground squirrel)
Lineage: Eukaryota; Metazoa; Chordata; Mammalia; Rodentia; Sciuridae
Source: RefSeq, a predicted model, not a curated record